Molecule: non-coding RNA, 2181 nt
Organism: Cherax quadricarinatus
Lineage: Eukaryota; Metazoa; Arthropoda; Malacostraca; Decapoda; Parastacidae
Source: RefSeq, a predicted model, not a curated record
UUAGAGGGUGUCGAUUCUGGUAUGCAACAGCCUUCAACAAGAUGUUGGUGUGUGCAGCAGGUCUUCAGCACCGUCCUGGAGGGUGAACUCCUGCAGUCGUCCGUCUCCUGCUCCAGAAGCGGCACUUCCCAACCUCCGCACCCUUCCCCAGGAGCCACUGUGCUCCUACCCCCAACAGAAGCAGCACUGCCGGGCCCCAAGAGAGGGGUGGAGCACUUGCAGGGGUGGAUCGCUGGUGGUGGACCUGUGGACUCAUGGGGUGUGUGGUGUCGUUUCUGAGGUCGAUGCGUUCUUACCAUGGAUCGCACCUCACCCCACGACAGUUGGAACGACAGCGUCGCCAGCGAUCUCAAACCUCACAGAGCCGCCCUACGCGCCCUCCCACGCCCCCAAGCUCUCCUGAGGAGGAUGAGCGCCGCGCCCUCAGCUUCGACGGUGGUUAUGCCUCCUACAGCAACGCGCCCGUCCCAGCACCCACGCCCACGCCCAAGACUAAGGUGCCCACGCCCAAGACCACUCCCGCACCCAAACCCAAGGCACCCAAACUGUUCAAGAGUAAGAGAUAAGGUUAUGUUCAUAAGGAAGCGCUAAAUCCGUUGGAGUCGUACAACACUAUGGGAAUAGAUAAUGCGUGGGUAAGGGAGUAAAUUCUUGGCCUUCUGUAGAAGGCCAGUAGGCCUUCUACAGUGUUCCUCCAUUCUUAUGUUUUUAUGUUUGGUCCAAGAAAGGAGAUGAUAACCCCCCUUCCUUCGAUCAAUGCAUCCCCCUUCUCCCUUGAAGGGAAGUUUUUUUAAUCGGGAGAGCAUUAAACACACAGGGGUCAUAUAGUGCGUGGAAAACGGCAAACAAUCAGAUUAGAUGCAACAAAUGGGAGGAUAAAUCCAGUUUCUUGAAUCAAGAGCCCCUCACUGAAGGAUAGAUAAGGAAAAUCAGUCGAUUGUUCUCCACAAAUUCACUUGACAGGUUAAAAACUGUUGUCCAACUUCAGAUCAUUAAAAAUGCCAGACCAAACAUUAUACCUCAACCCCAGUAUACCAACCGCAAGUCAACGAACACCCAGGUACACGCUUACUGCCCACAACACUCAACAAACACCCGGGUAUCUACUUACUGCCUACAACACUCAACAAACACCCGGGUAUCUACUUGCUGCCCACUACACUCAACAAACACCUAGGUUCCUACUUUCUGCCCACAACACUCAACAAACACCCGGGUAUCUACUUACUGCCUACAACACUCAACAAACACCCGGGUAUCUACUUGCUGCCCACAACACUCAACAAACACCUAGGUUCCUACUUUCUGCCCACAAUACUCAACAAACAUCCGGGAAUCUACUUGCUGUCCACAACACUCAACAAACACCUAGGUUCCUACUUGCUGCCCACAACAGUCAUCAAAUACCCAGGUACCUACUUACCGCCCACAACAGUCAACAAAUACCCAGGUACCUACUUACCGCCCACAACAGUCGACAAAUACCCAGGUGCCUACUUACUGCUCACAACAGCCGACAAACACCCAGGUACCUAAUUACCGCCCACAACACUCAACAAACACCCAGGUACCUACUUACCGCCCACAACACUCAACAAACACCCAGGUACCUACUUACCGCCCACAGCAAGAUAGAUUAUAACUGAAAAAUAAAUGAUAUUAGGAGACAGGGAAACUCACGCGCCUCUUAAUACUGUUACACAAAUUAUCUUACAUAGUAACAUAUAUGCAAAUUACCUAGGAUAACUUAACACAUUAUUACACUCAAAACAAGCGCUAAAACCGAGCACGUCACUGCUACACAAACAUGUAUCUUGUAAAAGUUCAACAAGAACUGAAAAAAAAAAAAACGGGCCUUUGGGCUUAAGAAGCUUCUUAUUUUGAUUAUGGCUGAAUGAGGUGCAAACAAUGUAGGGCAUCGAUGCGGACAUUUUAUUUUUUGAAUGCAUCUUAUAUAUAUUUUAUACUCAGUUGCUUUCUCUGAUAAUCUAUUCCACGUAUUUAGCAAUCUAUUUGAUAAAAUAUUUCACUUCAAAGAUCUGAAAAAAAAUGUUUGCCUAUUAUAUUACAUUCCUAGUUGUGUUAUGCAUUUAAUGACACUGUAAUUAUUUUUGAGAAGCAGCCUGGCAGAAUUACCAUAACUCUCAGACUGAAAUUCGAAUGAUCUACCAAUAAAUCUUG